Molecule: ribosomal RNA, 1803 nt
Filed under: Triticum aestivum (bread wheat)
Lineage: Eukaryota; Viridiplantae; Streptophyta; Magnoliopsida; Poales; Poaceae
Description: partial small subunit ribosomal RNA
Source: RNAcentral
AUGCAUAUUGAAAAUGACGGGGAAUUGGCCACUGAGAUUGUCGAUUGUCAAGAUAUUCGGCCAGCACGCGCCAUCACCCGUAUGGACUCCAAGUACAGAUUUUCUCCUCCUUCUCAUGUUGAGGUCCACCAUGAAGGUAGCUGGUGGCCUGGUCUUAUUGUUAAGGUUUUAGGUAGUGGAAUCAACAAGAAGUAUGUGGUGAAAUUGAAGAAUCACAAGACAGACAUGGAGGACGAACCUGUAGAUAUUUUGACGGUUGAAAAUACGCAACUAAGGUCACGAUUUGACUGGGACGGUAAAAAAUGGGUACGCUUCGUGAAAGAGGAAUCUUCUAAUGAACCUCGAUUAACUUCUCGAAAAAGGCUAGUUUCUGCCUUAUAUGAUGACUCUGAUAAAACCGGUAAUGAAGCUGAUUCUCGUCGUGACAAAAAGUUGAAGAAUAAAGAUGUGAUAUCAGGAGAAAUUUCUCCUCUUCCUUUGUCCACUUGCAAUGAGAACAAUGAAAUUACUUAUAAUCAAGGAAAUGCAGUAUUGGCAUUACGGUCUGAGCUAUCACUUCCUUCACUGCCACCAAUGGCAGCAUUUAACCAGCUGAGUUCAUCUUCACUUGCUCCAAGCUGUCAUCUGGAACAAUCAUCUUCUCAGAUGAUUAUCAUACCAUCUACGCCAGAAAGUCGGCAGUUGCGGGCUUUGUUGUUUGGAGCAUUUGGACAACCAACAGCUGACCCACAGGACCGACUAUUAGGUUCACAAGAGGGUAGUGGAAUAGAUGAUCUUCAGCAAGGAGGCUAUGUUGGUGAAACUAGUGUUGGGCAGGACACUGGUGGAGAAUUAUGUCAGGGGUAUUUGGUUAUGGCUGAUAAUGCCAAUGUUCCUCUGUUGCCUUCAGCAGAGAGUUGUGAAGCUAAUUCGCACGACAACCGGCUCUCCAAGGACAACACGGCAGCUGAGGUGGAGUGUGUUACUUGUUAUGCUGCUCCAGCCGAGGACUUGUCUCUCAUACCUGUAGCUACUUUAGAUGGUGUUGUACCUAAUCUGUUGCCAUUAGAGUGGGAUUUGGAGGUCAAUAUAACUGAAGAUAUGGAUGAGGAGAACCGUCAAGGGAAUGUGGUUGGGUUAGCCAGCAAUGGGAAUCAAAGUCAGAAUGGUGUGGAGGGCACACGAGUCUCCAGGUAUGUUGCAAGCAGAACAAGUGAUUCUGUCUUACAAUUGUCGCCGGAAUCUGUAGCUAUGCAUGAGAGUACCGUGGGAUCCUUGGCAGUCCAGCAGCGUCUUCCAUUUGUGAAGACCUCUCCAGUAUGGGCACAUCUUGAGGCACUGGAAAUAUUCAGGAAAGCGCCACAGCGGCCACAUUUUCGUCGGUUCGAGCAGUAUUGUCCAGAGCUCCGCGAAGGUAAGGCAUUAGGUUUGAUGCACUCUUUUGCCAAUUUAGCAGAAAGCAUAAACAUGCUGGAUGUUCAGGGUGACAAAGAACUACUUGAACAGAAGAUGAAAAGCCUUGCUUUGCUCGAGGAGAAUGGUUUCGACGUCACGUACCUGAGAUCGCGCGUGGAAGCUUUAAUCGCCACAGAUAAUAAUAGUUGCGUCGAAGAGCUGGAGGAGAAGAUUGCUCGCAUAGAAACCUACGACCAGGAACUCGGCACGCGAGUUCGCGCUCUGGCUAUGACCGUCCAUCGUCUCGAACUGCAUGCGUAUCUCAUGCGCAACAUGGUGCGGUCUGCGAUCGCGCGGAAGAUGAGCAAUGCUGUGAAGAUCGCAAGACUCAAGGCAGAAGCGAACGAUCUUGAGAGAUCGUAUCUUUCC